AGUGAACGCUGGCGGUAGGCCUAACACAUGCAAGUCGAACGGCAGCACAGUAAGAGCUUGCUCUUACGGGUGGCGAGUGGCGGACGGGUGAGGAAUACAUCAGAAUCUACUUUUUCGUGGGGGAUAACGUAGGGAAACUUACGCUACUACCGCAUACGACCUACGGGUGAAAGCAGGAGAUCUUCGGACCUUUCGCGUCUGAAUUAGCCGAUGUCGGAUUAGCUAGUUGGCGGGGUAAAGGCCCACCAAGGCGACGAUCCGUAGCUGGUCUGAGAGGAUGAUCAGCCACACUGGAACUGAGACACGGUCCAGACUCCUACGGGAGGCAGCAGUGGGGAAUAUUGGACAAUGGGCGCAAGCCUGAUCCAGCCAUACCGCGUGGGUGAAGAAGGCCUUCGGGUUGUAAAGCCCUUUUGUUGGGAAAGAAAAGCAGCAGGUUAAUACCCCGCUGUUCUGACGGUACCCAAAGAAUAAGCACCGGCUAACUUCGUG
This 492-nucleotide ribosomal RNA is filed under the name uncultured bacterium. RNAcentral's name for it is "partial 16S ribosomal RNA". It matches the Rfam family "Bacterial small subunit ribosomal RNA", at positions 29 to 507 of the family's 1533-position model. The record is from RNAcentral.